RNAcentral lists this ribosomal RNA (253 nucleotides) under uncultured bacterium. RNAcentral's name for it is "partial 16S ribosomal RNA". It matches the Rfam family "Bacterial small subunit ribosomal RNA", at positions 524 to 776 of the family's 1533-position model. The record is from RNAcentral.
UACGGAGGAUGCAAGCGUUAUCCGGAAUGAUUGGGCGUAAAGAGUCCGUAGGUGGUUAUUCAAGUCGAUUGUUAAAGAGCGGGGCUUAACCCCGUAGAAGCAGUGGAAACUGAAUAACUAGAGAGAGGUAGGGGUAGAGGGAAUUCCCGGUGUAGCGGUGAAAUGCGUAGAGAUCGGGAAGAACACCAGUGGCGAAAGCGCUCUACUGGGCCUCAUCUGACACUGAGGGACGAAAGCUAGGGGAGCGAAAGGG